Molecule: long non-coding RNA, 295 nt
Filed under: Fragaria vesca (wild strawberry)
Lineage: Eukaryota; Viridiplantae; Streptophyta; Magnoliopsida; Rosales; Rosaceae
Description: long non-coding RNA (FVES_LNC000188)
Source: RNAcentral
UUGAACUGUAUAAUAAGCACCAGGACUAGUUGAACUUGCAUGAUAAGAACAAUAUGACUAAUUAAACUUAUUAAGAGCCAUGACUAGUUGGACUUGUAUAACCAGGUAGAUCAGCACUAAGCAUAGUUGAAUUUGUAUAACCAGCAAAAUAUGAACUACCUUGUGAACGAGAUUAAACUAGCAUUAUUAUACGAAGUACUCGCUAUGCAACCGUUCACAUAUGGAGUAUCAAAGGAUCAAUUGAGCAUUACUAUGAACCUGUAACCGGGCAGAUAUGCAUAGAGUAUAGAAUUAG